RNAcentral lists this long non-coding RNA (379 nucleotides) under Fukomys damarensis (Damara mole-rat). RNAcentral describes it as "lncRNA (ENSFDAG00000025274.1)". The record is from RNAcentral. Lineage: Eukaryota; Metazoa; Chordata; Mammalia; Rodentia; Bathyergidae.
CUCACUGCCCCAAAUGGGCAGGAAAGCAGGGAACAGCCUGUCACAGCAACUGGCUAGAGCCCCUCAUGGCUUCAGGUCCUAGUUGCAGGGGACUCCAGGGAAGUGUGAUCUCUCUACACCAGGUGGAAUAGACACCCUGUGCCUACAUCUCACUAGGCUUCAAGUUGAACCAAGCCAAAUAAGCAAAAUGGGAGUGAAGAGCUCAUUUCCACACCAGUGUCAUCCCCUGAAGCCCUUGCAGAGGCCAGCAUCCAGGGAGCUGUCAACUGCCCCCGCUUAGUGAGUUGUAUGUGGGGUGACCAUGAUGUGGGCAGCACUGAAGGCAUGGAGUGACCACCUGUAUCUUUCCUGUAGGCAAGGGCCACAGGGUAUCUGGCCA